ACGGUCUCAUCACGUUUAAACACCGGUUACCGUACGAUCACCGGAGUUAAGCAACGUCGAGCCUGUUCAGUACCUAGGUGGGUGACCACUUGGGAAUACG
Non-coding RNA from Acanthosepion pharaonis, 100 nucleotides. The record is from the annotation of a GenBank genome assembly. Lineage: Eukaryota; Metazoa; Mollusca; Cephalopoda; Sepiida; Sepiidae.